Molecule: long non-coding RNA, 242 nt
Filed under: Elaeis guineensis (African oil palm)
Lineage: Eukaryota; Viridiplantae; Streptophyta; Magnoliopsida; Arecales; Arecaceae
Description: long non-coding RNA (EGUI_LNC075684)
Source: RNAcentral
GACUAGCUCGAUACUGCAGUUGUGUGUCUAGUUCUUUGACCUGAGGUACAUCGACAGUUCACCUUGAGUGUGUUAUAGUUUGACUACAUCAUAACUUGAUCUGCUAGCUAUUCGAAACCCUGAAGUGUAUGUUGGCUGUAGCAUAUUCAUUGUAGGAACUAGAUCGCACCAAGAUGAGAUCUAUCAACCUCGGUAGAUGAGAGGAGUAGUCCUAUGAUAAUUAAAAGAUUGAGUCCUUAAGC